UGCUAUAGCUCAGUCAGUUGAGCAUGAGACUCAUAAUCUCAUGGCAGUGGCCUCAAGUCCCACAUUGGGCAA
Non-coding RNA from Podarcis lilfordi (Lilford's wall lizard), 72 nucleotides. NCBI's taxonomy places the organism in Eukaryota, Metazoa, Chordata, Lepidosauria, Squamata, Lacertidae. The record is from the annotation of a GenBank genome assembly.